CACGUAGGGCGCAAGCGUUUGUCCGGAAUUAUUGGGCGUAAAGAGCUCGUAGGCGGUUUGUCGCGUCUGCUGUGAAAACCCGAGGCUCAACCUCGGGCCUGCGAGUGGGUACGGGCAGACUAGAGUGCGGUAGGGGGAGAUUGGAAUUCCUGGUGUAGCGCUGGAAUGCGCAGAUUAUCAGGAGGAACACCAAUGGCGAAGGCAGAUCUCUGGGCCGAUA
RNAcentral lists this ribosomal RNA (220 nucleotides) under uncultured bacterium. RNAcentral describes it as "partial 16S ribosomal RNA". It matches the Rfam family "Bacterial small subunit ribosomal RNA", at positions 524 to 739 of the family's 1533-position model. The record is from RNAcentral.